GACGAACGCUGGCGGCGUGCUUAACACAUGCAAGUCGAACGGAAAGGCCUCUUUCGGGGGGUACUCGAGUGGCGAACGGGUGAGUAACACGUGAGUAACCUGACUUGACUUUGGGAUAACUUCAGGAAACUGGGGCUAAUACCGGAUAGGAGCUCCUGCUGCAUGGUGGGGGUUGGAAAGUUUCGGCGGUUGGGGAUGGACUCGCGGCUUAUCAGCUUGUUGGUGGGGUAGUGGCUUACCAAGGCUUUGACGGGUAGCCGGCCUGAGAGGGUGACCGGCCACAUUGGGACUGAGAUACGGCCCAGACUCCUACGGGAGGCAGCAGUGGGGAAUAUUGCACAAUGGGUGGAAGCCUGAUGCAGCAACGCCGUGUGCGGGAUGACGGCCUUCGGGUUGUAAACCGCUUUCGCUCAUGACGAAGCUUUGUGUGACGGUAGUGGGUAAAGAAGCACCGGCUAACUACGUG
Molecule: ribosomal RNA, 466 nt
Filed under: uncultured bacterium
Lineage: Bacteria
Description: partial 16S ribosomal RNA
Rfam family: Bacterial small subunit ribosomal RNA
Source: RNAcentral